This 385-nucleotide ribosomal RNA is filed under the name uncultured bacterium. Its description in RNAcentral is "bacterial SSU rRNA". It matches the Rfam family "Bacterial small subunit ribosomal RNA", at positions 392 to 769 of the family's 1533-position model. The record is from RNAcentral.
CCAUGCCGCGUGUGUGAAGAAGGCCUUCGGGAUGUAAAGCACUUUUGUCCGGAAAGAAAGCGAAUCGGCUAAUACACGGUUUGGAUGACGGUACCGGAAGAAUAAGCACCGGCUAACUUCGUGCCAGCAGCCGCGGUAAUACGAAGGGUGCAAGCGUUACUCGGAAUUACUGGGCGUAAAGCGUGCGUAGGCGGUCUGUUAAGUCUGCUGUGAAAUCCCCGUGCUCAACCUGGUAAUGGCAGUGGAAACUGGCGGGCUAGAGUACGGUAGAGGAUGGUGGAAUUCCAGGUGUAGCUGUGAAAUGCGUAGAGAUCGGGAGGAACACCAGUGGCGAAGGCGGCCAUCUGGACCAGUACUGACGCUUAGGUACGAAAGCGUGGGGAGC